GAUGAAGAACGUAGCGAAAUGCGAUAAGUAAUGUGAAUUGCAGAAUUCAGUGAAUCAUCGAAUCUUUGAACGCACAUUGCGCCCGCCAGUAUUCUGGCGGGCAUGCCUGUUCGAGCGUCAUUUCAACCAUCAAGCCCCAGGCUUGUGUUGGGGACCUGCGGCUGCCGCAGGCCCUGAAAACCAGUGGCGGGCUCGCUGUCACACCGGGCGUAGUAGAUUUUCAUCUCGCUCAGGGCGUGCUGCGGGUUCCGGCCGUAAAAAGCCUUAUUUACCCAAGGUUGACCUCGGAUCAGGUAGGAAGACCCGCUGAACUUAAGCAUAUCAAUAAGCGGAGGA
This 336-nucleotide unclassified non-coding RNA is filed under the name soil metagenome. RNAcentral's name for it is "partial contains 5.8S ribosomal RNA, internal transcribed spacer 2, and large subunit ribosomal RNA". The stretch from base 1 to 120 matches the Rfam family "5.8S ribosomal RNA", at positions 35 to 154 of the family's 154-position model. The record is from RNAcentral.